AGGAUCAUUACCGAGUGCAGGCCUCGCCCCACAGGCAGGCCUAACCUCCCACCCGUGAAUACCUGACCAACGUUGCUUCGGCGGUGCGCGCCCCCUUCCCGGGGGGCGUAAGCCGCCGGGGACCACACCGAACUUCUUGUUUUUAGCGUGUCGUCUGAGCUUGAUACAAGCAAACCUAAUUAAAACUUUCAACAAUGGAUCUCUUGGUUCCGGCAUCGAUGAAGAACGCAGCGAACUGCGAUAAGUAAUGUGAAUUGCAGAAUUCAGUGAAUCAUCGAGUCUUUGAACGCACAUUGCGCCCCCUGGCAUUCCGGGGGGCAUGCCUGUCCGAGCGUCAUUGCUGCCCUUCAAGCCCGGCUUGUGUGUUGGGUCGUCGUCCCCCCCGGGGGACGGGCCCGAAAGGCAGCGGCGGCACCGCGUCCUGGUCCUCGAGCGUAUGGGGCUUUGUCACCCGCUCGUUUAGGGCCGGCCGGGCGCCAGCCGGCGUCUCCAAACCUUUUAUUUUACCAGGUUGACCUCGGAUCAGGUAGGGAUACCCGCUGAACUUAAGCAUAUCAAUAA
Molecule: ribosomal RNA, 561 nt
Filed under: Aspergillus puniceus
Lineage: Eukaryota; Fungi; Ascomycota; Eurotiomycetes; Eurotiales; Aspergillaceae
Description: eukaryotic LSU rRNA
Rfam family: 5.8S ribosomal RNA (bases 184-337)
Source: RNAcentral